Molecule: long non-coding RNA, 557 nt
Organism: Prunus avium (sweet cherry)
Lineage: Eukaryota; Viridiplantae; Streptophyta; Magnoliopsida; Rosales; Rosaceae
Source: RefSeq, a predicted model, not a curated record
ACAUUUUUACCAAAAAAAGGAGGCUAGUACUUUGGAACGAUUGUCUUGAGCGAGCGAGCACCGAUCGUCGUCUUCGGCGAGAGCGAGCGAGCACCGACCGUCUUCUUCAGCGAGAGCGAGCAGCGAUCGUCUUCUUCAUCGAGAGCGAGCAGCAAUCGUCUUCUUUGUCGAGCGAGCGAGUGUCCUCUUCGUCUCUGUGGUUUUGAUUUCUAGGUUUUGUCCUAAUUUCAGGUUUCAUCUGGAAGCUUCUUUGCUCUCAAUUACCCAGAUCAUCUACAUACAUAUGUUGCAUUGCAUAGUAAAGAAGAAGCAGAGAAUAACUAUCUAAACUCGUUUUCAUCUGGAUACAAAGAAGAAGCACUGUAGCAGAGGCAGUCAUGAACUGAUACUCUGGUUCCACAAGCUGCCACUACGACAAAAAAUGUUUUUAAGUCUCAAGGUACAUUAGACCAAUUUACCAGGUUUGAUUUCUAUUUUUUUAAUUUUAAAGUUAAAAUUUUUGUUUUGUUUAUUCUCUUUUGCUUAUUUUUCUACAGAGUUUUGGCCCCAAGGGCUUG